This is a long non-coding RNA of Phymastichus coffea, 498 nucleotides long. RefSeq lists it as uncharacterized. Lineage: Eukaryota; Metazoa; Arthropoda; Insecta; Hymenoptera; Eulophidae. The record is from RefSeq and is a predicted model, not a curated record. The transcript has 4 exons.
CUUGAGAGCAGCUCGGAGACUGCGACGUUAGUAGCCAAUCAGUACAGUAGCGAGUUCAGCAGAGAAUUCGAGUUGAGCCAGCUGGCUGCAGCAGCACGUCAAUUUUCAGCGACUUUCAACUAUAGUACAUAAAAACCAGACAACGUGUGAUUGGAAAAAUGCGUGUAAAAGCAACGCAAACGGGACCCGUGAUAGCUAUUCUUACGGCCCUUGACAUGGAAUGACUCGUGGAAAAGGGAAAAUUCGACAAAUGCUUUUGUCUUCCGUGCCGCAGCGACGAGACGAGAAGACUCCUGGAGAAAGCACCAAGUCGAGUCAGUAACGGGAUGAUUAAUCAUUGUGGAACAAUACCGUUGAAAUAGGAUCCGACGACUCUACAGAUGUAAUCUUCAACGCAGGGGUAACAGUGUCCUGUGGCGGCGCAUAUGUUCUCUGUAUCGUUGUAGCUAUUCAAUUUCUUUAUGUACAUUCGAUAAAAAAGCGUAUAGGCAUAAGCGA